GGGUGCAGCAGGCGCGAAAACCUUGCAAUACACGAAAGUGUGACAGGGUCAUCCCGAGUGCCGACCGCUGAGGUUGGCUUUUACCCAGUCUAGAAAGCUGGGGGAAUAAGGAGAGGGCAAGUCUGGUGUCAGCCGCCGCGGUAAUACCAGCUCUCCGAGUGGUGUGGACGUUUAUUGGGCCUAAAGCAUCCGUAGCUGGCUGAACAAGUCCCCUGUUAAACCCACCGAUUUAAUCGUUGGUCUGCGGGGGAUACUGCUCGGCUAGGGGACGAGAGAGGCAGACGGUAUUCCCGGGGUAGGGGUGAAAUCCUAUAAUCCCGAGAAGACCACCAGUGGCGAAGGCUGUCUGCUAGAACGCGCCCGACGGUGAGGGAUGAAAGCUGGGGGAGCGAACCGGAUUAGAUACCCGGGUAGUCCCAGCUGUAAACGAUGCAGACUAGGUGUUUGGACGGCCACGUGCCGUUCUAGUGCCGCAGGGAAGCUGUUAAGUCUGCCGCCUGGGGAGUACGAUCGCAAGAUUGAAACUUAAAGGAAUUGGCGGGGGAGCAC
This 549-nucleotide ribosomal RNA is filed under the name uncultured archaeon. RNAcentral's name for it is "bacterial SSU rRNA". It matches the Rfam family "Archaeal small subunit ribosomal RNA", at positions 328 to 879 of the family's 1478-position model. The record is from RNAcentral.